CCCUGCACCCCUGCACUUGAAAGUCUUUGCACUCCAAGUCGUUCACUGGUUUAAUUCUUUUUCUUUGGCUUCUCUUUCCAAUCCUCCUCUAUCCACUGAAAAAGGAAACUUGAAAUUCCCCAGCAGAAGCAAAUUAAAGUCGAGAUUGAUGGAUGAGAUCAGAAAUUGUUCCACUUUAUUACUAAUCAUAUUUAUUGCCGGUGUCUCUGCCUCCAACGGCGUCUUCAGCGUCAAGUACAGAUAUGCAGGCCGUGAGCGCUCUCUUAGUGACCUAAAGGCUCAUGACGAUCGCCGUCAGCUCCGUAUUCUUGCCGGCGUCGAUCUUCCUCUCGGCGGCAGCGGUCGUCCUGAUGGUGUCGGGCUUUAUUAUGCUAAGAUUGGAAUUGGAACGCCUUCAAAGGACUACUAUGUUCAGGUGGAUACUGGAAGUGACAUUAUGUGGGUCAAUUGCAUUCAAUGUAGGGAAUGCCCCAGAACAAGCUCUCUUGGUAUGGAUCUUACACUAUAUAAUAUUCAGGACUCGGUCACGGGGAAGUUGGUUCCUUGUGAUCAGGAGUUUUGCUAUGAGGUAAAUGGAGGUCCACUAUCUGGUUGUACAGCAAAUAUGUCUUGUCCUUAUCUUGAGAUAUAUGGAGAUGGGAGCUCUACUGCAGGUUAUUUUGUGAAGGACAUCGUGCAAUAUGAUAGAGUAUCGGGUGAUCUUAAAACUACAUCAGCAAAUGGAAGUGUUAUAUUUGGGUGUGGGGCUAGACAAUCAGGGGAUCUAGGCUCAUCUAAUGAAGAAGCUCUUGAUGGUAUACUUGGUUUUGGAAAAGCAAAUUCAUCAAUGAUUUCGCAAUUGGCUGCGACUGGAAAAGUGAAAAAGAUAUUUGCUCAUUGCUUAGAUGGUGUAAAUGGAGGUGGUAUCUUUGCUAUUGGGCAUGUUGUGCAACCAAAAGUUAACAUGACACCUCUGAUUCCAAACCAGCCCCAUUACAAUGUCAAUAUGACGGCAGUUCAAGUUGGUCAUGAUCUCCUAGAUCUUCCAAUUGAAGUGUUUGAGGCUGGAGAUCGGAAGGGAGCAAUAAUUGAUAGCGGUACAACCUUGGCCUAUCUCCCAGAAAUGGUUUAUGAACCACUAGUGAGCAAGAUAAUAUCUCAGCAACCUGAUUUGAAAGUUCAUACUGUGCGUGAUGAAUAUACAUGUUUUCAGUAUUCUGGGAGUGUGGAUGAUGGAUUUCCAAAUGUUACUUUUUAUUUUGAAAAUUCAGUUUUCUUGAAGGUUUAUCCACAAGAGUAUCUAUUCCCCUUUGAGAUUGGAGAUUCCUGACUCAUAUCCUUCACCAGCUACUUCGUUGGGAGAUCCUGUACCUCAUACUGAUCAUGAUUUUGACUUAGACUUACCCAUUGCUCUUCGUAAAGACUCUGUUCCUAUCCAUCAUACUGUUGGUGAGGCACUGUCUCAUCCUGGUUGGUGUGCUGCUAUGAAAGAGGAAAUGGAGGCUUUAGAUGCUAAUGGUACAUAGGAACUGUUGCCUUUGCCCACUGGUAAGAAAGCUAUUGGUUGCAAAUGGGUAUUUACAAUAAAGGUAAACCCUGAUGGUUCUGUGGCUAGUUUAAAAGCACGCCUUGUGGUAAGAGGAUAUGCUCAGACAUAUGGGGUUGAUUACUUUGACACUUUUUCUCCUGUAGCUAAACUUACUUCUGUUCGCUUGUUUAUCUCUUUAGCAGCUAUAUAUGAUUGGCCCCUGCACCAAUUGGAUAUCAAGAAUGCUUUCAUUCAUGGUGAUCUUCAGGAGGAGGUGUAUAUGGAGCAACCACCUGGUUUUGUUGCUCAGGGGGAGUUAGGUAAAGUUUGUACGCUUCGGAAGUUUCUUUAUGGCUUGAAACAAAGUCCUAAGGCUUGGUUUGGGAGAUUCAGUGAAGUAGCACAGGAAUUAGGUAUGCAAAAGAGUAAGUGUGAUCAUUCAGUAUUUUAUAGGCAAUCUGAGGUUGGUCUAAUUCUCCUGGUAGUCUAUGUGGAUGACAUUGUCAUUACUGGGAGUGACUCUGCAGAUACAGGAAAAUUAGGUGCUAAGCCUUGCAGUGCACCAAUAACUCCAAAUUUACAACUGUUAGUAGGGGAUAGUGAGUUGUUUGAAGAUCCAGAGAGAUACAAGAGAUUGGUAGGAAAAUUGAACUACCUUACAGUCACUCGUCUUGACAUUGCUUAUGCCGUUAAUGUGAUGCCGACUGGGCUGAAUCUAAGGUUGACAGGAGGUCAACUACUGGAUAUUGCGUUUUUGUUGGAGGAAAUUUGGUGUCUUGGAGAAACAAGAAGCAGAGUGUAGUUUCUUGAUCUAGUGCUGAAUCGGAAUGCAGAGCCAUGGUACAAUCAGUAUUUGAAAUAAUGUGGAUACUUCAAUUACUAGAUGAGACAGGUUUUAAGACCUCACUGCCUGCGAAAUUGUGGUGUGAUAAUCAAGCUGCUCUCCAUAUUGCUUCUAAUUCGGUGUUUCAUGAGUGGAUUAAACAUAUUGAGAUUGAUUGUCACUUUGUUCGUGAAAAGAUUCAACAACAGAUCAUCUCAACAGGACACAUCAAAACUGGUGAGCAGUUGGGAGAUAUUUUCACAAAAGCUUUGAAUAGAGCUAGGAUUGAUUACAUUUGUAACAAGUUGGGCAUGAUUAACAUCUAUGCUUCAACUUGAGGGGGAGUGUUAUGGAAAGUCAAUUACUAUAUUAUUCUCUAUAUAUGCUGUAUUCCUAUUUAGGAUUUCUUAUUUAGGAUUUCUUCCUAAUUAGUAGAACACAAUUGUAGGAAUCAAUUGUAUAUAUAUAUUCAUGUACAGAUUAAUUGAAAUUAAGGAGAAUCAUCUCUUUCUACAA
Hevea brasiliensis (rubber tree) is the source of this 2846-nucleotide RNA transcript. It is a transcript of the gene named aspartic proteinase 36, with no coding region annotated. The transcript has 11 exons. The record is from RefSeq and is a predicted model, not a curated record. NCBI's taxonomy places the organism in Eukaryota, Viridiplantae, Streptophyta, Magnoliopsida, Malpighiales, Euphorbiaceae.